GAUGAACGCUAGCUACAGGCUUAACACAUGCAAGUCGAGGGGCAGCAUGACGAUAGCUUGCUAUUGUCGAUGGCGACCGGCGCACGGGUGAGUAACGCGUAUCCAACCUUCCCGUUGCUAGGGGAUAACCUUGCGAAAGUAAGACUAAUACCCUAUGAGGUUCUUCGCAGGCAUCUAACGAGAACGAAAUGUGAAGGAGAAGGAUGGGGAUGCGUCUGAUUAGCUUGUUGGCGGGGUAACGGCCCACCAAGGCGACGAUCAGUAGGGGUUCUGAGAGGAAGGUCCCCCACAUUGGAACUGAGACACGGUCCAA
RNAcentral lists this ribosomal RNA (313 nucleotides) under uncultured bacterium. RNAcentral's name for it is "bacterial SSU rRNA". It matches the Rfam family "Bacterial small subunit ribosomal RNA", at positions 28 to 334 of the family's 1533-position model. The record is from RNAcentral.